AUUUCUUUAAUACAAUAAGUAUAUUUGACUUCCAAUCAAAAAGUCUAGAUUAUUCUAGAAGAAAUA
Molecule: transfer RNA, 66 nt
Filed under: Oregonia gracilis
Lineage: Eukaryota; Metazoa; Arthropoda; Malacostraca; Decapoda; Oregoniidae
Description: tRNA-Gly
Rfam family: tRNA
About the family: Transfer RNA (tRNA) molecules are approximately 80 nucleotides in length.
Source: RNAcentral